Molecule: small RNA, 3676 nt
Filed under: Rattus norvegicus (Norway rat)
Lineage: Eukaryota; Metazoa; Chordata; Mammalia; Rodentia; Muridae
Description: uncharacterized LOC103693490
Source: RNAcentral
CUCGGAGCCGCCCAGCCCCGCACGUUCAGCUCCAGCGUCCGGCUGGGGGAGCUGCUGCGCCAGACGUGGCCUUCCGAGGGCGCCACCGGGGCCCAGAUCUGAACCUUAGGGGCCACUGAAAGGAGCUAGGUGCACCGACGCCGCGUUUGCGCAGGAACCACUCGGCAAGCCGGGAAAGAAGAGCUCGUCAGAGGAUCUUUUCUGGAGUUGCAUAUGAUAUAACCAUAGGAACCUCCCGGCUCCCUAACUGCGGAGGGGGCCUCCUGGAAUCACCUCAAACACCGAUUGCCACCCGCCACUGCCCAGCCCUCCAAAGGCCUCGCCGUGGGCAGCUUUGGAGGUGACUGAAACACAGAAGUGCUCGCCAACGCAGCAACUCUCUUCUCUCAGGCUGUUAUUAGUCCUCGUGGAGGGUGGGCAGAUGAAGAAAGUGACUUACCCUGGAUCCCUGUCCUUACAUGAAGGCAAGUCCUAGACCAACCCUCUUGUGACAGCUACCGUAGGGACAGCUCAGAGCCACCAGCCCGAGUACGAGGCUGGGAGAAAGCCGGGCAGAAGCCCGGGGGUGGCCAAUGAGGUCACCUGAUAUGUCCAAAUCCUUCUUAGAAAGCCUCCCUUGGGGCGGCCCCUACCUUUCCAAGCCCCUGUCUCGGCACCUCCGAGGGAAUCACGGGAGAGACUGACUCCAAACCCGGGAUUCCCAGAGCCUUCUACUGGGGCCCCUGUCCUCAACCGGGGAUGCCCAGGGGCCCCACGGGAACCUUUAUAUGACUCCUUAAUCCAGUGCACUUGAUACUGCCCCUUUCCAGACAGGGUGAGUAGUUCCGUCCGCUCUACUGAGAAACAGAAGCCCUCCAGAUGCCACCACGGGCUGGGGCCCCCAGGGGCCUUCAGGGGCCCCAAGAGAGGAGCGAUGUUCCCUCGCCCAGCGGUAGGCUCGAGUUUAGAAAGGUGGGGCAAAGGAACGGAUCCCGGAGAGGCUGGGAACUUUUUAAUGGCCGAAGAGUGGAGAAUAGUUACUGAGAAUCCAGUCUUGGAACAAGCAUGACCCGCGCCGACCGGGGUUGGGGGGGGGGGGAUAAACUUCUUAAAGGAGCCGUCUCGGUGAAUGGGUUCUCGGUCCACGGGAGAUUGCCAUCGCCACCCUCUGACCCCCAACUCUGGGCUCUGUUUGGAGGAGGGGGCCUGAAGCUUCCGGGACCAGCAGCCCCGGGUGGAUUUCAGACAGACAAGGGGAUUUCAGUGGGUAUGACUACCAAACUGCAAGGGCUCCUUUCUCUGCCACGUCCUUAGUAGGGAAAUUGUCUUUGACUUGAGAGCUGACGUUCGUAAAACAGUUUUUAAGCGGCGGCUUAGCUUAGGGGGGAGCUGACCGGGUGAAACUGCUGGGGGUGGGGUGGAGAAGAGGGCGUGCGGGAGGGAGCCCUACACUCCUUCCCUUGCACACUCCAGGAAGAAAGGCUUUGUUUGCCAGGGAUCUCCUCCGCGCGUCCCCCCCACCCCUAUUUUGCCCUCUGUUACGCCACCCGCGAAGGAUUUGUUUUCAUUUGCACCGCGAAGCCUCCCCCCACACACCCCCAGGUCCCACUCUAAGAACCCGCGUGGUGCUGGAUCUGCGGUGUAGAUAGACUAGAGAUGGCAGGGUACACAGGCGGGGCCGCGGGCUCAGAGGGAGGGGGCAAUGAAGCAGUGGCCCUUUGGCAGGACCUGGGCACCCUUGGGGGCCACACAGGCCCUGUAGGGCCGUGCCUCCGCAUUGCGGCACGCCGGGGUCCGCGGGCGCCGAAGCCGGACUGGUGGGGGAUUGCGACGUCCACUGCUCAACCUCAAGAGGCCUCCCCAGGCUGGCCUGAAGGAGCCUACCCGCCUCGUGCCCCGCGCUCAAUCGGGAGGCUCCGCGGCCCUGGGGAUCCCCGCCCCCGGGACCAUAUUUUAUAUAUGAUCUUUGAAGCCGACACAAUCGCCCACCGCUGCUGCUAGCACGCGCGAACAACGGCCUCGGCAAACCCUGUGCUUUUUAUUUGGGUUUCGUUAGCCCACCGCCUGGCCCAGGGUCCCCUCUGGCCUGGAGGUGCGCCCCGACACACCCUCCCCUUGCAUUUUGCUCUCGGGUGCCCCCGUCGUGCGCCCAAACCCAGCGGGGCCCACACACAAGCCAGAUUUCUUUCUUUCUUCUUUUUUCCCCCUAACCAGAGCUAGCUGCUGCAGCCAGCCCCGGAAUGAAAUGAAAAUCGCUCCGGCGGACCCCAAAGAGAUCGUCAGCCGAGGCGCCCCCGCCUCCCCGCCCCCACCCGCCUCCCCAGCUCCAGCCUCACGGCGCGCACAGGGUUAAGCGCGCGCCCGAGGGGGGUAUUUGAAUCCUAGGUGGGAGAAGAGGGGGCGCCGGGCGCAGCAGGCAGAGUAUCUGGGCUUGGUUUCGUCUGGUUCCCCCAAAACCCUGGGCAGAGGGGCGGGUCGGAUCGGAAAGGCCAGGCGCGUCUCCACCUCUCUGGCUGGCCCGGAGCCCGGUCUGGCCGCGGCCCGGAACGGCGAGGACGCUGUUCGGAGGCCGCGUCCUGCGCAGCCCGAGCGGGGGAGGGGGCGGAGGCGAAGGCUGGGAGCCCGGGCUGCGCGUCGCCGCCAGCCGAUCGAUCCCCUGGGGAGGGAGCGCCGCAAGCUACGCUGAACACCUGGGGGUGGAGUGGGGGGGUUGUCCCCCGCAGGACCUAGGACCGAACGAAGAUGGUGGUCGGGGAUCUUUUGGCGGUGGAUGGCGGCUGGUAGGGCCCACGCUUGCUGCCUGGCCUGCAGAUUACGCCUUGAGCACCCCCACACCCCCAAAUUCUACAUCGUGUUUGUGGAACUGGGCUUUGGGCAUUUCUACAACCUACUCUGACCUGGGUGCAACUUCGUCCUUCCCCGUGGAGCGCCCCCAACAUCCCGGGUCCAGGCCCCACCCCCACGCGCGAUGACGAAGUCGAGGGAUGUGGUCACUCAGUCCAACCUUCUGGCCCUCCUGAAUCCUGAGAUGUGUGGGUGUCCCUUUGAUUCCACCUCCAGAAAGAUAGUCUCGGUCAAGAAGUCCCUGGCUCAAUUCACUUCACCAAGAUGUUUUCCAGGGUGGUCCCUGAGGACUCCUGGGACAUCCGCUUGGCCCCUCACCUGCCAGCUCCAGUGCUCAGUGGUCGGAGCUGGGGCAGGGGCGCAGAGGCCUGCACUUGCGGAGCCCUCCCCUAGGGGGCGGGCUCCUCUCGGGCUGGCUCGAGGUCCCAGACUGCCCCGUCUGUCCUUAGUCUCUUUGACUGUAAGCUGGGCCCAGUGUGUUUGUAGGGGUGUUUCCCUGUCGCUGGGGUUGGCCGAGCAAUCUUCGAAGGCCCUGCCUCCUGUGCUCAACCCCGCCUUCACACUCCUGAGCCUUUGGAUAGAAACAGCCUUCCUCUGAGAGACUUUGAACCCUAGGAGUUCCUGAACACUCAAGACUGAACACAUUCUAGACUCUAGAGCAGUGCCUGGAAUGCAGUGGGUGACACCGUGCGCUGGUCAGUGGAUAUACAGGGCUUUAUCCAGAGCAGGUUUUUCGAGACAGGAUUUCUCUGUGUACCCCUGGAUGUCCUGGAACUCAGUCUGUAGACCAGCUUGGCCUUGAUUUCAGAGUUCUGCCCAACCCUGCCUCCUGAGUGCUGGGAUUAAAGAUGUG